GGAAGAGCGCGAGAAGAGGCAGCCCUCCUCAUAUGUCGUUUAAAAAUUCUCUUUGUAGAGAAAGUAGGCUAGCCUUGCCUCGCCGAAGAAGUCGAUGAUGCGCCGCGCCGCACGUGUAAUCCCCGGACCCCGGUGACCAUAGCACGUCCGUCGUGUGAAACUGGUUGUAAAUCCUUCCGCGGCGCACAGAAGACAGUUCGGAAGGAUUGGUCAAUCGAAUACUUCACCUUGUACUCGACAAUAAGAACCGGCGUAAAUUAUCGGCUGCGUGUCUACUCUCUGACGAGUCUGACGGAGAUCGAAAAAGUGCAGUAAGACCAUGCGGUUUGCAUGAAAAUGCAAGUGAAAUUUAUGGUAAACUGUCUGUGUAUUUUACAUGACUGAGGGACAUUUGUUUCGGCAGACAUUUGCCGGCACUUAAUUUGAGGAUUGAUCAAGAAUCAGUAAAUACAUGCAUACAUGAUUGUUGAGUCUUGAAGGAUGUUCAUCAAGUGUGUUGCAUCGCAUGUAUGCACAAGAAAUCUUACGCAACGCAACGUAAUAAUUGCAGAUUGAUGUAAUCUUCAAUCGUACUGAUUAAUUAUCGCAAUGUGAUCGGAACGUGUAACGACUUUAUUGCGAUACAGGAAAACAGCUGAAUGCUCUUUACUUCUAAAUAAAACCUGUCUUUCAUCAAAAA
Molecule: long non-coding RNA, 679 nt
Organism: Wasmannia auropunctata (little fire ant)
Lineage: Eukaryota; Metazoa; Arthropoda; Insecta; Hymenoptera; Formicidae
Exons: 2
Source: RefSeq, a predicted model, not a curated record